CGUCUAUAUACGUAUAGCAUAUCAAUAAGCGGAGGAAAAGAAACUAACAAGGAUUCCCUUAGUAACGGCGAGUGAAGCGGGAAGAGCUCAAAUUUGAAAUCUUCAAGGUUCUACCUUGACGAAUUGUAGUUUAAAGAAGUGUUUUCUGUUAGAGGAGUAGCAAAAGUUCCUUGGAAUAGGGACAUCAUAGAGGGUGAGAAUCCCGUAUUUGGUUACUUCUUUCUAGCUUUGUGAUACACUUUCAAAGAGUCGGAUUGUUUGGGAAUGCAGUCCAAAAUGGGUGGUAAAUUUCAUCUAAAGCUAAAUAUUGGCGAGAGACCGAUAGCGAACAAGUACCGUGAGGGAAAGAUGAAAAGAACUUUGAAAAGAGAGUUAAACAGUACGUGAAAUUGUCAAAAGGGAAGCGUUUGACACCAGUGUUGUUUUUCCGAAAAUCAAUUAAGAGUGGCUUGAUUUUGUGUUGUAUUGACCUUAUCAGCUUUCUUCACUCUUUUUCGAGUCUUUCUUAAUGCACUUUUCGGUUAACAAGUCAACAUCAAUUUCUUUUGUUGUAAAAGGGUAUUUGGAAGGUGGCUUUCUUUUCGGAGAAAGUGUUUAUAGCCUUAUGCCUCUACAAUCGGAGAGAUUGAGGUCUGCAGCGUAGAUCCUUCGGGGCUAGAUACACUUGUGCUAAGUUAUAGCUUUUCAUAGACAACUUGUUGACUAUGUUUAGUCAUGUAGCUUACCCGCUUGUGCUAUUUUACCUACGCUUAGGAUGUUGAGUCAUCACACAUCUCU
Molecule: ribosomal RNA, 777 nt
Filed under: uncultured Neocallimastigales
Lineage: Eukaryota; Fungi; Neocallimastigomycota; Neocallimastigomycetes; Neocallimastigales
Description: partial large subunit ribosomal RNA
Rfam family: Eukaryotic large subunit ribosomal RNA
Source: RNAcentral